This 2038-nucleotide long non-coding RNA is filed under the name Homo sapiens (human). Its description in RNAcentral is "HSALNT0372984". Lineage: Eukaryota; Metazoa; Chordata; Mammalia; Primates; Hominidae. The record is from RNAcentral.
CUGGAAAUGCAGAGCAAGACAUUUCUAAGCUGGGAAUUUGCCAUCCUGUUGCAGGAGCACAGCAGCAGCCCCAGAAAAAUAUUUUUCAAGGCUGCAGAGAAAACAAGGGCUGGAAAAAUGUUUGUUUAUUGCCAGCUCUCCCCACAGCCGCUUAUAUAACAGCCUGUGCUGAGACAGGCUGUCCUGCCCAGGCUCAGAAUCAAGAGUCACACUCCUUGGGAUGAUGACAGAGACAAUGUGGGAACUACAGGGCUAUGGCCUAUGACGUCCAGGAAGGAAAACCAAGUGGUUCUUCCCCAAACCAUCAUGGACCAGUUGGACUCUGAGAAGAAAAGUUUCUGAUCUUUAGUUCAUUCUUCCAACUCUCUAGAAAGCAGGAAAACUGAGAAUGAAAAAUUCUAAAUUACUCAGGACUCAUGGGUUGCCAAUAGAAGAAAUACAUCUUAAACUAGCUUAAGCCUGAAAGGGAAAUGUAUUUGUUCAUGUAACUGAACCAUAACGAAGGAUGGUGGACUGAGGGACCUGAAAACACCCUCAGGACUCCCUCCCUCUCCUUUGUGCUCCUGUCUGAUGCCGUCUUCCCAGACCUGCUCACUCUCCAUAAGGUGGGGAUGUGGCCAUCAGCAACGUGUACUUCCCCGAAGCUUGUGACCUGAGUAGAUAGGCAUCUCCCAACCCACAAGGAUUGAAAAGUUCCUCUAGGAAUUAUGUGGAUUGGCCCAUUCACUAUGACAUGUUCCCCCUAAGCAGCUAAAGGAACUGGGUCUGUUACCAGAAGAGGUGGGAGAGGGGUGCUAGGCAGAUUGAACAACAGCCACUACAACAUCUGAGGAGGAGACCUCCGUGAAGGCCACCAAGUCUGCUAGCAGAUAUUUCCUCCCUCGGAUCUCUCUCCCUGUCCUCACAGUCUCAUAAGUGAGGAUUAAAUACUACAUGUGGCCUAGGAGAUCUUAGACCCUCCACACGAAGAUAUAGUAACAAUCAACAUCCUAGUGUUCUGGCAGAGAAAAAAUCAGAAAGAAUCGUUUGCCUGAUUUUUCCAUCAAUACCAAUAAUUAAUUAGAGAUGAAAUUUGUGAUGGACUCAGAGAAUUAGAGAAGAUCUAAGGGAAUCUAGAUGAUUUCCUACCCCUAACCAGAGCCUCACAAAAAAGGGUGAAGAUCUAUGGCCGUCUUGCGUUUGGUGUGAGGCUGGACAAGGAAGUUCCUAAGGUCCUUUAGACUCUGUGAGAUCAUGAGUCCGUAAAACCCUUCCAACUUGAAAUUAGUUGAUUCCUUCCUUAAAUUUUCUGGGACAUUCCCCCACUCCCUCCACUCUUAUUAGCUGAUUUUACUGACCAAUAGGCCUUGAAGUUGGGCGUUCCAUCUAGAUGUCUCACAUCAACUCACCUUUUGCAAAUUAAGCCCAUACCCUUAAAGAGGGGAAUUCUCAAGCCAUUAGAAACUAGAGAGUCAGCUGGGCAUGGUGGCUCACGCCUGUAAUCCCAGAACUUUGGGAGGCCAAGGUGGGUGGAUCACUUGAGGUCAGGAGUUCGAGUCCAGCCUGACCAACAUGGCGAAACCCCGUCUCUACUAAAAAUACAAAAAUUAGCCAGGGGUGAUGGCAUGCACCUGUAAUCCCAGCUACUCAGGAGGCUGAGGCAGGAGAAUUGCUUGAACCUGGGAGGCGGAGGUUGCAGUGAGCCAAGUUUGCACCACAGCACUCCAGCCUGGGCAACAGAGUGAGACUCAGUUUCAAAAAACAAAAGAACAAACAAACAAAAACUAGAGGGUCUCCUCUUAGUUCUUAAACCCUCUUAGUCAACAUUUGUGAGCCUCUUUUCUGUAUGUUUUGGCAUCUUUAUUCCUUUCCUUCGUGUCUUGACCAAAUUCACCAGAUCAUGACUCAGAACAAAAUCCUGAGGUUGAAUAUAGAGGUCUAGAACAUCUUCAAAUUAACUGUUUCUCCUCAUAGAGAAUUAAAGAAAUUGAGAAAGCAAGAGAGAGUGUGUGGAGUUUUUGUCCUCAUUUUCCUCUUUCCUGUAGUAGGUAGAAUAAUG